This 253-nucleotide ribosomal RNA is filed under the name uncultured bacterium. RNAcentral describes it as "partial 16S ribosomal RNA". It matches the Rfam family "Bacterial small subunit ribosomal RNA", at positions 103 to 354 of the family's 1533-position model. The record is from RNAcentral.
CGGGUGAGUAGCACGUAUGCAACCUGCCUGCCACAGCCGGAUAAUCGGGAGAAAUUCCGUCUAAUACGGCAUAAUGCAUCGACGGGACAUCCUGUUGGUGCCAAAGGUUAAUUCCGGUGGCGGAUGGGCAUGCGUCGCAUUAGUUAGUUGGCGGUGUAACGGACCACCAAGACGACGAUGCGUAGGGGUUCUGAGAGGAAGGUCCCCCACACUGGUACUGAGACACGGACCAGACUCCUACGGGAGGCAGCAG